UCAGGGCAUCUGCACUCAGCUCCUCUGA
RNAcentral lists this non-coding RNA (28 nucleotides) under Rattus norvegicus (Norway rat). Lineage: Eukaryota; Metazoa; Chordata; Mammalia; Rodentia; Muridae. The record is from RNAcentral.